AGAGUUUGAUCCUGGCUCAGGAUGAACGCUAGCGGCAGGCCUAACACAUGCAAGUCGAACGGCAGCACAGAGUAGCAAUACUUGGGUGGCGAGUGGCGCACGGGUGCGUAACACGUAUGUAACCUACCUCUAACCGGGGGAUAGCCCGAAGAAAUUCGGAUUAAUACCCCAUAAUGUUAUUGAAAGGCAUCUUUUAAUAAUUAAAACUCCGGUGGUUAGAGAUGGACAUGCGACUGAUUAGCUUGUUGGUGAGGUAAUGGCUCACCAAGGCUGCGAUCAGUAGCUGGUCUGAGAGGAUGAUCAGCCACACUGGAACUGAGACACGGUCCAGACUCCUACGGGAGGCAGCAGUGAGGAAUAUUGGGCAAUGCCCGAAAGGGUGACCCAGCAACGCCGCGUGGAGGAUGAAGGUCGUAAGAUUGUAAACUCCUGUUAGAGGGGAAGAAUAACUAAGUUUGGAGCUUAGUAUGACUGUACCCUCAGAGAAAGCCCCGGCUAAC
Molecule: ribosomal RNA, 500 nt
Filed under: uncultured bacterium
Lineage: Bacteria
Description: bacterial SSU rRNA
Rfam family: Bacterial small subunit ribosomal RNA
Source: RNAcentral